RNAcentral lists this long non-coding RNA (753 nucleotides) under Parus major (Great Tit). RNAcentral's name for it is "lncRNA (ENSPMJG00000004132.1)". The record is from RNAcentral. Lineage: Eukaryota; Metazoa; Chordata; Aves; Passeriformes; Paridae.
AUGGGAAAACAGCUCCAUCUGAUCCAGCUGUCCCUCUUUCAUUCUCCAGGAAUGAAACAGGUGCCUGUGCAACAGGAAAUGUUUCCUGAAGGAAGCAGUGAUUCUGUGCCAGACUCUGCUGCAGGAAGGGAGGCCAUGCCAGGCACAGUCACACGAGAUUGGGAUCAGGACAUGGAUUAUCUCGAAGCCCUGGCACUUAACAGUUUCAAGCUCUUGGAGGAUGCUGAAGCUGAACCUGUUAAUGAAGGUGAUCUGGCUAACCAUCCCAUGUCCAGGACUGAGCCUCUGGGAUCCAGGAGCGAUUCUCUGGGAGAUGGUGAGGAUGGAGCCGGCACCACAAGUCAUGUUCCUGAUUCCCGGAAGGGCACCGAAACAGGUUUCUGUCAGGGAACACUCUGCUGGCUGGAGAUAACAGCCAUGGUGGCUGGUGGAGAGCUUGUCAUCAUGUUGUGCUGCUUUGGAAUCUGCUAUGCCUGCAAGAGAAAACGGCACCUCCUUGAAGAAAAGCUGAAAGCUGGUGGCUGGUCCCAAGACCUCUACAGCCCGAAGAGCUACAGCAGCAGCUCUGACACUGACGAGUUUAUAUUUGCACCUUCAAGCUUUGUGAUGCUUUGAGAGGACAGGCCCAGCCCUCCAUCCAAGCCAAAAUUCCCCAGGAAAGGAAUUGGAAUUGGAAGCCUUCAACUGAACCAUGACUGAGAGCUGCCAAAAUCACGUCUUCUGUUCCAAUAAAUAGAUGUAGCUCCCACCCCA